Molecule: ribosomal RNA, 482 nt
Filed under: uncultured bacterium
Lineage: Bacteria
Description: partial 16S ribosomal RNA
Rfam family: Bacterial small subunit ribosomal RNA
Source: RNAcentral
GAUGAACGCUAGCGGCAGGCCUAAUACAUGCAAGUCGAACGAGAUUAAGAGGCUUGCUUCUUAUGAAAGUGGCGCACGGGUGCGUAACGCGUAUGCAACCUACCUUAAUCAGGGUGAUAGCCCGAAGAAAUUCGGAUUAAGACCGCAUAAAAACACAGGAUAGCAUUAUCCAAUGUUCAAAUAUUUAUAGGAUUAAGAUGGGCAUGCGUGUCAUUAGCUAGUUGGCGGGGUAACGGCCCACCAAGGCGACGAUGUCUAGGGGAUCUGAGAGGAUGACCCCCCACACUGGUACUGAGACACGGACCAGACUCCUACGGGAGGCAGCAGUAAGGAAUAUUGGUCAAUGGAGGGAACUCUGAACCAGCCAUGCCGCGUGCAGGAAGACAGCCCUCUGGGUCGUAAACUGCUUUUAUUCGGGAAUAAACCUUUCUACGUGUAGGAAGCUGAAUGUACCGAAGGAAUAAGGAUCGGCUAACUCCGUG